GUAUUAAAAUUUUAUCGCUAGAAGUCACUAUGAAUUGAAUUGGAAUUGAAUCUUCUUUAUCAACCAACACAUUUCUUCCAUUGUUUUACCGUUUUUUCAUGCGAGGACGCUUCUUCCUUUCAUAAUCUAUACAACUUCAUUGGUAAAUCACAGUUACUUGCUCUCCGUUAGACUAUAUGCAAGAUGUUCUCAUCGCUUAAUGCAGGUACCAUCUACUUGUAUGAUACUGUGCUAUAUUUAUUAUAGAAUAUGCAAUUCCUGUAUCGUUACAUAUUUCAGAUCAUCAAAAUAGUUCUUUCGAUAUAAAGUAAGAACUUCAAUGUAAUUAGUUAGUUCUUAUCAUAAGAAUUAUAUUCAUGAUAUUUAAAAUGAUUAACAUUAUAUUAAUAUAUAAUUGUAGCCGAUAUAAGGAUAGUAAUUAUGAUUUAAGAGAAAUGUAAUCCGAAUAGAUUCUGCGAAUGGUGUUUAGUAUAUCGUUCCAUUCUUAUGCAGCUGUUAAGUAUAAAUUGUUAAUAUUGCAUUUUAAUAAUUGCAUUUAAAUAAUGCAGUUAAUAUUGCAACUGUUAAGCAUAAGUUGUUAAUAUUUAGAUAAUAAAAAUAUUCUAUAGAUUUUUUAAA
This 618-nucleotide long non-coding RNA is filed under the name Polistes fuscatus (common paper wasp). RNAcentral's name for it is "uncharacterized LOC122514805". The record is from RNAcentral. Lineage: Eukaryota; Metazoa; Arthropoda; Insecta; Hymenoptera; Vespidae.